This 522-nucleotide ribosomal RNA is filed under the name uncultured microorganism. RNAcentral describes it as "bacterial SSU rRNA". It matches the Rfam family "Bacterial small subunit ribosomal RNA", at positions 9 to 513 of the family's 1533-position model. The record is from RNAcentral.
GAGUUUGAUCGUGGCUCAGGAUGAACGCUGGCGGCGUGCCUAAUACAUGCAAGUCGAGCGAACGGACGAGAAGCUUGCUUCUCUGAUGUUAGCGGCGGACGGGUGAGUAACACGCGGAUAACCUACCUAUAAGACUGGGAUAACUUCGGGAAACCGGAGCUAAUACCGGAUAAUGUUUUGAACCGCAUGGUCCAAAAGUAAAAGACGGUCUUGCUGUCACUUAUAGAUGGAUCCGCGCUGCAUUAGCUAGUUGGUAAGGUAACGGCUUACCAAGGCAACGAUGCAUAGCCGACCUGAGAGGGUGAUCGGCCACACUGGAACUGAGACACGGUCCAGACUCCUACGGGAGGCGGCAGUAGGGAAUCUUCCGCAAUGGGCGAAAGCCUGACGGAGCAACGCCGCGUGAGUGAUGAAGGUCUUCGGAUCGUAAAACUCUGUUAUUAGGGAAGAACAUAUGUGUAAGUAACUGUGCACAUCUUGACGGUACCUAAUCAGAAAGCCACGGCUAACUACGUGCCACGG